This 120-nucleotide small RNA is filed under the name Streptomyces tsukubensis. Its description in RNAcentral is "Streptomyces tsukubaensis Streptomyces-metH RNA". It matches the Rfam family "Streptomyces-metH RNA". Lineage: Bacteria; Bacillati; Actinomycetota; Actinomycetes; Kitasatosporales; Streptomycetaceae. The record is from Rfam by way of RNAcentral.
CUGUCCGCACCGUGGGACGCCUGAGUCGCCUCGCGGCCCUGCACGGUUAAGCUGGCCCGAUGCGCCUCCCGCCGGAGGCGCAAAGCCGACAGCCGUCGCACUCCAGGGAGCAGAUCCAUG